CUCCUCUGUCUGAUACUCCUCUUCACGAACGAAUUUCUACUCAUUAGUGGAAAUAAAAACGAACGCAGUAUAAGUCCCCAAUCAGACUUUGAACUCACAAAAAUGGAUAAUACCCAGAAGACAAUCUAUGCCGCCGGAAUUCCCAUUGCACUCUUAGAGGAACCAAUGCCGGAGAGAAAUCACGUUAAAAGAAUGGUUUUCAGCCCAAGAAUAUCUUAUGAUCAUAAGGGUAAUCCAGUCAAAAGAAAUAAGCCGCGUACUUAAGAAAAUCGGUCUUAGGACUUAUUUUAACAAAGGUUUACUAAGGAUGUGCCACUUAAAAAAGGAUU
Long non-coding RNA from Drosophila subpulchrella, 329 nucleotides. RefSeq lists it as uncharacterized. The transcript is spliced from 3 exons. NCBI's taxonomy places the organism in Eukaryota, Metazoa, Arthropoda, Insecta, Diptera, Drosophilidae. The record is from RefSeq and is a predicted model, not a curated record.